Hippopotamus amphibius kiboko is the source of this 602-nucleotide long non-coding RNA. RefSeq lists it as uncharacterized. Lineage: Eukaryota; Metazoa; Chordata; Mammalia; Artiodactyla; Hippopotamidae. The record is from RefSeq and is a predicted model, not a curated record. The transcript has 3 exons.
UGCCUCAGAAAGGAAACUUCCUCGGGGGGGGGGGGGUGAGUGAAAAAAUGCCAGAGGUUUUGUCAAGCGUGAGCGAGUGUGAGAAAGGAUGGGCAGCGGCGCUGCAGGAAGACCAUGCUGGCAGCUGUGAGGCCCGAUCGGAGCGUGAACUGCCCUCCACCCAGGGAGACAACAAUGGCAAUGAUGAUGACUGUUUUCCAUAUGUUGGACGGGUAAAUUUCGCAGAGCUUCUUCUGUCUUGAUAGCUGGACUACAUUUGGUGAAUGGAAGACAAUGAAGAUGAAGUGUAGACAUUGCAGCCUCUGUCUCCUCCCCCUUUCUGUUCCUCAAAGUGGUCAGAGGAACAUACCACGUGACGUGUUGGUGGUGUGAUGGAAAGUUCCUUAAAAACACAAAAAGCACAAUUCAGCAGUCAUGAGCUUGAUGAGUUUGAUUCCACUCUCUGGUCAAGCACAAAAACCGGUCUGCAGGGCAGAUGGCAUCUUCAGAGCAGUUGGGAAUCUGCUCUCUCUGCGUCUCUGGAUUGUUUUCUUGGUUUGUUUGUUUUUGAAGGUAAAAUAAAAGUUUUAUUUUUCUUAUUGUUAAUUGAUCUAACAGUUCUC